RNAcentral lists this ribosomal RNA (315 nucleotides) under uncultured eukaryote. RNAcentral's name for it is "partial 18S ribosomal RNA". It matches the Rfam family "Eukaryotic small subunit ribosomal RNA", at positions 1470 to 1796 of the family's 1831-position model. The record is from RNAcentral.
CCCUUAGACGUUCUGGGCCGCACGCGCGCUACACUGACCAGUGCAACAAGCAUCCGUCCUUGGCCGACAGGCCCGGGCAAUCUUUGAACGCUGGUCGUGAUGGGGAUAGACUUUUGCAAUUUUUGGUCUUCAACGAGGAAUUCCUAGUAAACGCAAGUCAUCAACUUGCAUUGAUUACGUCCCUGCCCUUUGUACACACCGCCCGUCGCACCUACCGAUUGAAUGGUCCGGUGAGGCCUCCGGAUUGGCGCGCACCUCGGUGCCGCCGAGAAGUUGGCUAAACCUUACCAUUUAGAGGAAGGUGAAGUCGUAACA